Molecule: long non-coding RNA, 3176 nt
Organism: Anas platyrhynchos (mallard)
Lineage: Eukaryota; Metazoa; Chordata; Aves; Anseriformes; Anatidae
Source: RefSeq, a predicted model, not a curated record
CACAGAUGGAACCAGUUUUGCAAAUUAAACUGCUCUUGUUGGCACUGCUGUGAGCAGAGGGUUUAGACUAGAUGCUCUUCCGAGGACCCUUCCAAAUGAUUCUGUGAUCUGCCAACCACUAAGAAACCAGGACUGCUGUACCUCAGGUUCAGUACCUCCAUCAGGAUAUUUGAAGACAGAGGUGCUGGUCCUCUCACAGGAGGAAUGGGUCAUGUUGUGACAAGGAUCUGUAGCAGACUAUGCUUCUGUGCUCUCUGGUUUCUUGCUGAAGGAUUAGGGGGGGCUUCAAAAUCUCAAAGUUACCUUGAACAUCACCAAUUUUUCAACAUAUGUUAUGCAUAAGGUGGUUCAAAUUAAGAAAGAGGCUGGACUGGAUUACAACUAACAGAUCCCUGUAGAACUGGUUCCAGGUGUGGAAGUGAACAGAGAAAACAGAUGGAACAAAGGCUGCUUUUUGGGGAUCCGAGAAGAACAAGGGUUCAGAUCUCCCACAGGACUGAGGCACCUAGAUAAUUUUGGCAAUCUUGGCUAGCCAGGAGAUGGUAUGCAGUGUGAAGUGCUACAAUAUGUUAUGGAAGGCAAAAUGGCAGAAUCUUGUCUGGAGUAACAUUCUGGGAUAGUGCUGAAUUUAUAAACCAUUCAUGCCUUUCCACAAAAAGGCAUGCAAAGGGACAGAAGUGUACUUAGCUGAACCACGAACAGCCUACUCCAGCGAUACCUUGAUUUGCUCAUGCUGAUACCAUCUGCAAGGAGAGGGUGUUGGAAAUGAGACCAAAGCAUUUUGCAAAAAGAAAGAAGAAAAAAAAAAAAAAGCAUUCGUCAACUUGCAAGCAAUAUAACUUCUGGUAUUUUCCCUUCAAAUUAAAAACACUUGUCAGGCAGAUUUCCAGCGUAGCGUGUGGUGAGUUUGUAGCAAGAUUAUGAUGAACAUAAAGAAAACACUGUCAAGUUCAGUUCAGCUCUAUAUCUGGGGUUUGGGGAAAAAAAAAAAAAAAAAAGUAAAACACACACACACACACACAAAAAAAAAAAAAAGAAAAAAGAAAAAGGAAAGAUUUAUGGCUGGUGUGCUUUUUUAACAGUAAUGAAAACGGUUAAGGAGAACAAGAAUGCCAGCACGUCUUGCAGGGUGACCAUUGACCAUGAGCCAUACUGUGGCUGUGUUGGUGCUGAGGUUCCCCAGCCACAGUAUGGAGCAUCUCCUGGGGCUCAGACCGCAUCAAAGCCUACGUGACCCAGCACAGAUCUGGGACAUAUUGCUUUCUCUGGUGUUACCUUUGCUCCCCCACCAAACAAACAAACAAACAAAGGUAUUCUAUAGGCACCUGUCUAAAAUCAUGGCUUAAAAAAGCAGCUGUUUGAGUCAGAGAGGAACCAGGGAGGGGGGCAAUGCAAGCAUAAGAUGUGAGAGCUCUUUAAUAACAAUCAAAUAUUCAAAUAUUUUUAUCCCAGCUCUCAUCCUCAGGCUAUGAGUCUGCUGUGCAGGUGGCACUACCCAUGUCUAACAGCACGGCAAGUCCCCAAAACAUGGAAUUGCCUGGUGAGGAGACCCACAGGUGGGAAGUGGCCAGGGUUUGGAGAGACACAAAGUGUUUUUUUAAUCAGGAAAUGCCAGCAUUUUAAACCCAUAGCUUCCAGUGAAAUUAUGUUGGUGAGAGGCAGAAGAGAGGUUGGUGGGGAGAAGAACCCAUCUCUCCACCCCAGGGGUGGUUGGAGACCUCACCCAGUCUCCUUAAGCAUUUUCCAGGUUUCCUCUGUAAAAAUAGUGAAUGAUGGCUUGGGUUGUAUAAGUGGGUUAAAAUAAAUUCAAGUCCAUUUUUAACGACCUGGGCCCUUCCAGUCAAUAACUCUAUGACCAUCCUGUAAUCAAGCAUGGCUAUUUUAAAAGCUGACAGCUCCGGUGGGGCAGAGGCAGGCAUCAAUUCAGCCACUGUACCUUCCCCAGUCCCUGCCGAGCAUCCCGAGGUGGGCCAGGGAUGCGCUAAUUAAAAGAAAAUACAGCAGCCUCCAAAAACAGGAUGCUACAAAAAGGGCAUGAAAGAAUCCACUGCAUAACCAUGUGAGUAAUUUAAAAGACAAACUCGGAGUCCUGGCAUGGUGAGAGCCAAAUGUUCCUUUUCCUGUCAUCAAAUGUUAUUUACUCUAAUGUGCAAACAAUGAACAGAAGCUUUUUUUUCCCCUCCCGAACUGUGUGAAUUACUGUUUAAAAGAGUUUUCCAGUGCUGCUGAUCAAGUCCACACACAGAGUUAAAACACAGCCCGCCACACUGUGGCAUUUAUUCCUCCUCAUACCUGAAACACUUCCUCACUGGAGGCCACAGACUAAGUUUCUUCUCUUUGCAUGUUGAAGAGAGUCUUUUGUCUUCCUAGCACGCACUAUCAAUCUGAUCAUUUAAAGACUACAUGCACUAGUCAAUUCACCCCCCUGAAACUGAAAGUGUAUUCAGAAGAGCUUAGCAAUAGCAGUAAAAGAAAUGUUUCACUCAAGCUGUUAAUUAUAUCCAGGACAGGCUGGGAAAUUCUUCACAAUAAUCGUGAAUGUUAAGAGCUUGAAAAAUAAGCUGCUCAGGAUAGUCUCCUGCAAUUAGCACCAAUGUGUGUGAUUGAGAAUCAUGUAUGCCAACAGCCACCCUAUUACUCGACAAAUCAAGACAUUAAAAACCAGCUCAGUGGGAUGCAGUUCUGCUUAUCUGGCUCAUACUUGAGAUAUUAUGGAGAGCAGCCUGGAAAUAAUAAUAAUGAAGAGUGUGAUCUGUUGUGUUACCACUCUGAAGGUCACUUGAAGGCGAUCAUUUCAUGCAGCAUUGCCAAUAGAAUGUGUUUAUAUUCUGUUGCAGACUCAACAAUAUCAAGGCUAUCAUGUUUUGGAUGGUGUUUUAAUGGCAGCGAAGAAGUUUUUAUUUUGCAGCAGAAGCACCAUAAAAAUGUAACAAAAAAAAAAAAGGUGACUUCUGUUUUCGUUCUUGAACAUGCUGCACCUUUUAAGGUUACAUGCCGAUCUCCUUAAAGCCAGCAGCAAACCCCCCCCGACUUUCACAGUAAACCUCCUUCCACUUUUCUCGGAUACUCUGAAUAUUUGUACUGCUACUCUCAAAUAUAAAUUAUUUUGUUAUGUAUCCAGUCCCAGUCUUAUGUCUGAUUCUCUGCAUUAAACUUGUGAAUAAAACAGCCUCUGA